This 434-nucleotide ribosomal RNA is filed under the name uncultured bacterium. Its description in RNAcentral is "partial 16S ribosomal RNA". It matches the Rfam family "Bacterial small subunit ribosomal RNA", at positions 29 to 507 of the family's 1533-position model. The record is from RNAcentral.
AGCGAACGCUGGCGGCAGGCCUAACACAUGCCAGUCGAACGAACAUUCCGGGGUUAGUGGCGGACGGGUGAAUAAGACGUGGGAACGUGCCCUUAGGUACGGUAUAACUCAGGGAAAGUUGUGCUAAUACCACAUGUGCCCUUAGGGGGAAAGAUCUAUCGCCUUUUGAGCGGCCCGCGUCUGAUUAGCUAGUUGGUUGAGGUAAUGGCCCAUCAAGGCGUGGUUCUGUAGCUGGUGUGUGCGGAUGAUCAGACACAUUGGAGCUACGACACGGCCCCAACUCCUACGCAACGCAGCAGUAUAGAAUCUUGCGCGAUGGAGGAAGGUCUGACGCAGCCGUGCCGCGGAAAUGAUGAAUGUCUUAGUAUAGUAAUAUUCUUUCACCGGGGACGAUAAUGACGGUACCCGGUGAAGAAGCCCCGGCUAACUACGUG